Camelina sativa (false flax) is the source of this 505-nucleotide long non-coding RNA. RefSeq lists it as uncharacterized. The record is from RefSeq and is a predicted model, not a curated record. NCBI's taxonomy places the organism in Eukaryota, Viridiplantae, Streptophyta, Magnoliopsida, Brassicales, Brassicaceae.
UAAUACAAAUCGUCAUAUAUACAUUAUAAACGAUUUAUACAUUGUAGAACUAAUUAUUUUAACCAACACCAAAAUGUAUCACCGCUUAACGUGGUUUGUUGCUUUGAUUAUUCUAUUGUUCGUUGGCUCAUCAAACAUAGCUUCCGCUCGGAUUCCGUACCAGUCCUCCAUGACAAGAAAAGAUGAAGGGGUUUGGGGAAAAAUGAUGAUCAGAGAAAUCAAGAUUGACGUUGGAGGAAGUAAUUCAAAACAAGCACGUCAAAAAAAUGGACCAGCACCUCCAGGCGCCAAGAUGUAGCGACAGUUGACCAUUGAUGGUAUAAUUUCUCGGACAAUGGACAAGUCAAUAUUGUUUCGAAUUCGGGCUUAACGAUUGUACCGUAUAUAUAUGGUUGCUUCCAAGUAUCGAUAUACUUAAAUAAUGGAUUCAUCUCAUUUGUUAAAUGAAUAAUAUGUUUAUGAGUUCAUUCUUUUAAAUAUUAAUAAAUCUCCCUCUUCACAUAUA